This is a long non-coding RNA of Hylaeus anthracinus, 3252 nucleotides long. RefSeq lists it as uncharacterized. The record is from RefSeq and is a predicted model, not a curated record. Lineage: Eukaryota; Metazoa; Arthropoda; Insecta; Hymenoptera; Colletidae. The transcript has 2 exons.
CGUAGUUUGAACUAAACCUUUGGACCAGCUUACGAACUUGUGUCGCGAGUGCAUGGCAACGGAUUAGAAGCGCAAGCUAGAAGACCGUUAACUCGUUGCGUAAUCUAGACAGGAUGAACCUGGCACAGUCGUUACAAUGGUUACACUAUUGGGAAUAAAGAUGAUAGGAUAUGAAGAUUAAUUAAAUUAAUUUACUUCGUUUGUUUGUUAGUUCCCGAGUAUCAAGCUUGGUCAUUCUAAUUGGACAUUCGAAAUUCCAUGGGCUAUUCUGUGAUUUUGAUUUGGAUGAUUCAGUCUUUCGUUUGGAUAAUUUUAAGUUAGUAUUCUGCUUAAAAUUAACCAUGCAGAGUCGUCGAUGUAUAAACAUUCUGGAUUAGAGUAUUUUUAAUAGGAAAGAAAGGAUUGUCUGUUAUUGUGCAAUUUUCUACGUUAUGCCCAUAUUAUACCCGUAAGGAUUUUGUAUUUUUAAAGAUGAAAUCAGAGUUUGUCGCACUUACCUCCAACCACAGAAUUACAGACGUCAAAAGUUCGAGUACGUCAUUAAUUUUAAUUGAACCUCAUUUUAUCAACGUAAUAUUAUAUACUCGACUAAUAAACGAAAUAUAUUAAUCGAAUUUCGGUAUACAUUUCUAUCUUGAACACUGUGCCAAGAGUCUCCUGCCUACACUGUGCAACUCGCCCAAAAUGCGUUCAUUGGUUCAACAACCAAUUUCACGAAUCACCGAAAGAGUCGUUGAAUCGAUACGAAUCUGCACCGAAUAAAUUGUCAGCCUCUUCGGUCAUCGACUCGUUGGAAAUUUCGUACGCUCGAUUACUGUUGCAUGAACCGAUUGAAAUUAUGGUAAAGGCGACGCUGCGAUGAAGGAGAAUUUCAGAAAAUUCCGCGAGGAUUAACACUUAAUCUGCGGAUCACAAAAUAUUCCCAUUCCUAUUCGAUAUGAUAAUCAAAAACUGAAAUAUUCCAAAGAGUGGUUUUUUUUUAACCAAUCACGGUGAAUACAUCAUUUCUAACUUUUUUUUACGUGGAAGAACACACCAUAGCACCAGGACCGAAAUCUACUGUCUGAGUAGGUUUGGUGUAGUUUUUGGAGGACAGGAGUAUUGAAUACGAUUAAUGUACAUACUGUCUGAGUAUGUUUGGUGUAGUAUUUAAUGGAGCAGCAAUAUUGAAUACCGUACAAUGUACAUACUGUCUCAGUAGGUUUGGUGUAGUUUUUGGAGGACAGGAGUAUUGAAUACGAUUAAUGUACAUACUGUCUGAGUAUGUUUGGUGUAGUAUUUAAUGGAGCGGCAAUAUUGAAUACCGUACAAUGUAUAUACUGUCUCAGUAGGUUUGGUGUAGUGUUUAGUACGACGGAAAUAUUGAAUAGCGUACAAUGUACAUACUGUCUGAGUAAGUUUGGUGUAGUUCUUGAAUGAGACGGAAGUAUUGAAUACCGUACAAUGUACAUACUGUCUCAGUAAGUUUGGUGUAGUUCUUGAAUGAGACGGAAGUAUUAAAUACCGUACAAUGUACAUACUGUCUGAGUAGGUUUGGUUCUAGUUUUCAUGGAGCGGGAGUAUUGAAUACUGUUAAUGUGAGAAACUGAUGUUCCUCCACGGAAAAACAAAGUUGGAAAUGAUGUAUUCAUCAAGCAAAAACACUUUUUCCUCCUCAUAUGAAAAUAAUAAUAAAAGUUACAUCCAAUGUUCCCUCCUUCGAUCGACUCUGAAUAAUAAUGCUUGAAUAAUUAAUUCCUUAAGAAUUUGAGAAAGGUGCGAGCUCAGGCACCCUGCAGAUUAAGUGUUGAAGAGGAUCCGUCCCGAACGUGAGGUCAAUUGGAUACGAACGAGGACAACGAGACCGUUUGUCGCGAUUCAACGUGGGAGAGGAUCGCGGGAUUAUUUGACGGAGUUCCGUGAAAUACAUGUACCAGAUUUGUAAAAUGUAACUGUAUUAAAAACGACGAUACGCCGGAAUUGAUCUCCACCGAUCUGGUGUACGAUAAUGCCUAGGAUUAAUGUAUAACCGUGCGACUAUGAGAUAAAUAUAUCUAAAAUGUCUCGUAACGUGCAAGUAGGAAAAGCUUAUAUUACGUCCUUAACCGUCUUAAUCGUAGUGCUUAUAGAUAAAACACUAAACGUCUUAAAUAUAUGCGUAUAAAUAAAACCAUGAAUUAAACAACGUCAAUGUAUCUCUUUCUCUCUCGCUCCCUCUUACAAUUUUCAGUACAAAAUUUAUUCGUUAUAGCACGGGCCUUAAAUAAUUACUAUAAAAUUAUCUAGUGCUACGCGUCGCGAGCAACGAUUUGCUGGAAAUCGAGAGAAACUUUUCUGCGUGCGAUGAAAUUUAAUUCGAACCAGAUAGCGAAUAAUACGACUGAACGUUACCGAUCUCGAGAAGUCACAGAACCAAAGGAACGCGUUCCUAACUCAAAGGAAGUUUAAAGUCGCGGUGGCUGAGCCGCGAGUUCAAUUGUCAAUUUUUCAAUGAUUCCCUUACUGCUUAAAAAUAACUCCGAAGACGCUCUGCACCAUGAUUCCGUCUUUGUGAUAAGCCUUAUAAAUAGAAAAAAAAUAUAUAUAUAUAUGAAUGAAAGAAUGGCUUAGACGCUACUUAGCUAACGUUUAAAAUGAUCGAAUAGUAAAAAUUUUAAUGUUACGAUAGAUUAAUGAUGGGUUCGUACAGCUAAAUUGGCGGCCUUAAUUAAUCUUAAUUUGUAAAAGGACGCUUGCUUACACGCCGUCACUUGCACGUAACUUAGUAUAAAUUCUUAAUCGAUAAUCAUCUUACGGGCUAUAGUCGUCGGCUGAACAAACUCAAAACUGCCCUCUUGGAAAAAAAAAGUCAAUUUUCUCGCCGAUUAACGAUUGGACGCGACGGGUUUCAGACAUAGGGAAGCAAGAGGAUGGCCAGUUUCGUAAAACGAUCGAGCUCGUUUCGAUUAUUUCACCCUGAAACAUCCCGUUUCUGUGUGUGUGUGUGUUUUUUUUUCUUUUCUUUCUUUCUCUAUCAUCCUCCAUCACAGCACCGCCAACCUCUCUCUUCUCUAAUCUCGUAAUUUAUAGGAACCUAGAGCGUUGGUCUGUGUCUUUGGCAGCCGGUUGGCUAUUUCUUUAGCGCCUGUAAGGAUGGUAAUUGGUAUGCUGAGUCAAGGAAAAUCGUUGGGGACCCGGGGCUGCGUCUCCAUUUGGAAUGAAGGUCGGGCUCCCAGUUUCGGUAUUUUUGAACUUUGGGAUCGGGAUCACGUCUGCGGGAAACAAAGGAAGGAA